This 345-nucleotide RNase P RNA is filed under the name Candidatus Alistipes equi. RNAcentral describes it as "RNase P RNA component class A". It matches the Rfam family "Bacterial RNase P class A". Rfam says of the family: Ribonuclease P (RNase P) is a ubiquitous endoribonuclease, found in archaea, bacteria and eukarya as well as chloroplasts and mitochondria. Its best characterised activity is the generation of mature 5'-ends of tRNAs by cleaving the 5'-leader elements of precursor-tRNAs. The record is from RNAcentral. Lineage: Bacteria; Pseudomonadati; Bacteroidota; Bacteroidia; Bacteroidales; Rikenellaceae.
GUGCAGAUUUGUUCCAUCGCUGUCUCAUUUGGGAGAGAGGAAAGUCCGAGCAGCACAGAGCACCAUACAAGUUAACGGCUUGAUAUCCGUAAGGGUAUAUUAGUGUAACAGAAAAUAACCGCCGGCCUUCGGGGUUGGCAAGGGUGAAAAGGCGAGGUAAGAGCUCACCGCAAGUGCAGCAAUGUAUCUUGGCAGUACGCAUUAUGGGCUGUAAGGUUAUGUAUACCGGCAAUUAAGAAUUGCUCGUUCGAUGUCGGGGGGUAAACCGCUUGAGGUUGCGGGAGACCGCAAUCCUAGAUAAAUGAUGGAUUAAAACAGAACUCGGCUUAUGUAAUCUACAGGUGU